GACGAACGCUGGCGGCGUGCUUAACACAUGCAAGUCGAACGGUAAGGCCCUUCGGGGUACACGAGUGGCGAACGGGUGAGUAACACGUGGGUGAUCUGCCCAGCACUUCGGGAUAAGCCUGGGAAACUGGGUCGAAUACCGGAUAGGACCACUGCCUGCAUGGGUGGUGGUGGAAAGCUGUUGCGGUGUGGGAUGGGCCCGCGGCCUAUCAGCUUGUUGGUGGGGUGAUGGCCUACCAAGGCGACGACGGGUAGCCGGCCUGAGAGGGUGACCGGCCACACUGGGACUGAGAUACGGCCCAGACUCCUACGGGAGGCAGCAGUGGGGAAUAUUGCACAAUGGGCGCAAGCCUGAUGCAGCGACGCCGCGUGAGGGAUGACGGCCUUCGGGUUGUAAACCUCUUUCAGCACCGACGAAGCGCAAGUGACGGUAGGUGCAGAAGAAGGACCGGCCAACUACGUGCCAGCAGCCGCCGUAA
Molecule: ribosomal RNA, 478 nt
Filed under: uncultured bacterium
Lineage: Bacteria
Description: partial 16S ribosomal RNA
Rfam family: Bacterial small subunit ribosomal RNA
Source: RNAcentral